This 71-nucleotide transfer RNA is filed under the name Loxodonta africana (African savanna elephant). It matches the Rfam family "tRNA". Rfam says of the family: Transfer RNA (tRNA) molecules are approximately 80 nucleotides in length. Lineage: Eukaryota; Metazoa; Chordata; Mammalia; Proboscidea; Elephantidae. The record is from Rfam by way of RNAcentral.
GCAGUGGUGGUUCAGUGGUAGAAUUCUCACCUUCCAUGUAGAAGACCUGAGGCCAAUUCCUAGCCAAUGCA